GAUGAAGAACGUAGCGAAUUGCGAUAAGUAAUGUGAAUUGCAGAUUUUCAGUGAAUCAUCGAAUCUUUGAACGCACAUUGCGCCCCUUGGUAUUCCAUGGGGCAUGCCUGUUCGAGCGUCAUUUGUACCUUCAAGCUCUGCUUGGUGUUGGGUGUUUGUCUCGCCUCUGCGUGUAGACUCGCCUCAAAACAAUUGGCAGCCGGCGUAUUGAUUUCGGAGCGCAGUACAUCUCGCGCUUUGUACUCAUAACGACGACGUCCAAAAGUACAUUUUUACACUCUUGACCUCGGAUCAGGUAGGGAUACCCGCUGAACUUAAGCAUAUCAAUAAGCGGAGGA
This 338-nucleotide unclassified non-coding RNA is filed under the name soil metagenome. RNAcentral describes it as "partial contains 5.8S ribosomal RNA, internal transcribed spacer 2, and large subunit ribosomal RNA". The stretch from base 1 to 121 matches the Rfam family "5.8S ribosomal RNA", at positions 35 to 154 of the family's 154-position model. The record is from RNAcentral.